Small nuclear RNA from Mustela putorius furo (domestic ferret), 108 nucleotides. Lineage: Eukaryota; Metazoa; Chordata; Mammalia; Carnivora; Mustelidae. The record is from Ensembl.
AUACUCACUUCAGCAGCACAAAAACUAAAAAUUGGAAUGAUACAGAGAAGAUUAUCAUGGCCCCUGAGUAAGGAUGACAUGCAAAUUCAUGAAGCAUUCCAUAUUUUU